GGCAAGGCAACCAUUCUUAAAGAAAGAUACAGGGAAGCACCUUGAGGGAAAGAUGAGAACCUCUUUCCUGUAGCAGCAUCCAGUGACUUCAAAUCUUGUGUUAAUGCUAAUGGUUUGAAGCUGCACUCAGGUGUGUGAGAACACAGGGUUUGAGGUGCUCCGAUCCACACACCUGCUCGCAGGAACUGAUGGGGCUGAACUGCGAGCUGACCAGUGAGCAGCAGGUCUCCAUGGAGAUGAGGCUCACUCCUGGCGUAAAAUAAUGCCUCUCAAAGAUCUACUAUAACUCUGAUUUGAGAAUUUGUAAAACAGAGAAAAAGAAGAUUCUCUACAAUCUCACUGCAAAUGCAAACAUAAGAAUUUUAAAUUCAACAUCAUCCAACCGACUCCAGCUGCGCUGUCCAACAUAUCCUGUCCUGUCUCCAUCACCAGCAUCACCACCUCACGCUAGAAGGAGACUCAAUCGGGAUUUUGAAGAACUCAACCAGCCUGUAGACCAACAAUAAAUACGGAUGUACCUCCCUGAAUAGGUCUUUCUCCACCUAUAAAUCAGGGCUAACAAAAUUUGCCACGUCUCUACUCUAAGCUCUAAAUGGGGAUGGAAUUGAAGGUCAUGGACUAAAUUGCUGUUGUUCAUCAGAAGUUCUGUUAGUCGCUAAAAAAAUUCGGUGGUGCUAAAAAAAAUCCACCAGGAACCCAAAGUAAGGAGUUAUUGACCUCCAGUGAAGUUAGGUCUGAUGACUGAAGGUGCAAUAAAAACCCAUGAGG
Long non-coding RNA from Chinchilla lanigera (long-tailed chinchilla), 768 nucleotides. RefSeq lists it as uncharacterized. The record is from RefSeq and is a predicted model, not a curated record. The transcript has 5 exons. Lineage: Eukaryota; Metazoa; Chordata; Mammalia; Rodentia; Chinchillidae.